Molecule: ribosomal RNA, 467 nt
Filed under: uncultured bacterium
Lineage: Bacteria
Description: partial 16S ribosomal RNA
Rfam family: Bacterial small subunit ribosomal RNA
Source: RNAcentral
GACGAACGCUGGCGGCGUGCUUAACACAUGCAAGUCGAGCGGGAAACUUCGGUUUCCAGCGGCGGACGGGUGAGUAACACGUGGGCAACCUGCCUCACAAUGAGGGAUAGCCUUCCGAAAGGAAGAUUAAUACCUCAUAACACAAGAGAAACGCAUGUUUCUUUUGCCAAAGAAUUUCGUUGUGAGAUGGGCCCGCGGCGCAUUAGCUUGUUGGUGAGGUAACGGCUCACCAAGGCUUCGAUGCGUAGCCGACCUGAGAGGGUGAUCGGCCACGUGGGAAGUGGGACACGGGCCAGGCUGCGACGGGGGGCAGGAGUGGGGAAUAUUGCACAAUGGAGGAAACUCGGAUGCAGCAACGCCGCGUGAGUGAUGAAGGUCUUCGGAUUGUAAAGCUCUGUCUUCUGGGACGAUAAUGACGGUACCAGAGGAGGAAGCCACGGCUAACUACGUGCCAGCAGCCGCCGUAA